GAGGGUAGAGUUCAGUGGUAGAGUGUGUGCUUUGCAUGCAUGACAUCCUGGGUUCAAUCCCCAGUACCUCCA
This 72-nucleotide transfer RNA is filed under the name Camelus bactrianus (Bactrian camel). It matches the Rfam family "tRNA". Rfam says of the family: Transfer RNA (tRNA) molecules are approximately 80 nucleotides in length. RNAcentral also lists the same sequence under 1 other name. The record is from Rfam by way of RNAcentral. Lineage: Eukaryota; Metazoa; Chordata; Mammalia; Artiodactyla; Camelidae.